RNAcentral lists this ribosomal RNA (509 nucleotides) under uncultured Glomus. RNAcentral's name for it is "SSU rRNA". It matches the Rfam family "Eukaryotic small subunit ribosomal RNA", at positions 569 to 1078 of the family's 1831-position model. Lineage: Eukaryota; Fungi; Glomeromycota; Glomeromycetes; Glomerales; Glomeraceae. The record is from RNAcentral.
AACAGCCGCGGUAAUUCCAGCUCCAAUAGCGUAUAUUAAAGUUGUUGCAGUUAAAAAGCUCGUAGUUGAAUUUCGGGAUCAAUUCGUCGGUCGUGCUUUUUGGUACGUACUGGCGUUAUUGGUUUCUCCCUUCUGACGAGCCAUGGUGUCAUUAAUUUGGUGUUAUGGGGAGUUAGGACUGUUACUUUGAAAAAAUUAGAGUGUUUAAAGCAGGCAUUAGCUUGAAUACAUUAGCAUGGAAUAAUGAAAUAGGACGUUCGAUCCUAUUUUGUUGGUUUCUAGGAUCAACGUAAUGAUUAAUAGGGAUAGUUGGGGGCAUUAGUAUUCAAUUGCCAGAGGUGAAAUUCUUGGAUUUAUUGAAGACUAACUACUGCGAGAGCAUUUGCCAAGGAUGUUUUCAUUAAUCAAGAACGAAAGUUAGGGGAUCGAAGACGAUCAGAUACCGUCGUAGUCUUAACCAUAAACUAUGCCGACUAGGGAUCGGAUGAUGUUAACUUUUUAAUGACUCA